This 398-nucleotide ribosomal RNA is filed under the name uncultured bacterium. Its description in RNAcentral is "bacterial SSU rRNA". It matches the Rfam family "Bacterial small subunit ribosomal RNA", at positions 362 to 758 of the family's 1533-position model. The record is from RNAcentral.
UUUUGGACAAUGGGCGCAAGCCUGAUCCAGCCAUUCCGCGUGAGUGAAGAAGGCCUUCGGGUUGUAAAGCUCUUUCGCAAGGGAAGAAAACUUACUUUUUAAUAAAGAGUGAGGUUGACGGUACCUUGAUAAGAAGCACCGGCUAACUACGUGCCAGCAGCCGCGGUAAUACGUAGGGUGCGAGCGUUAAUCGGAAUUACUGGGCGUAAAGCGUGCGCAGGCGGCUUUGUAAGUCAGAUGUGAAAUCCCCGAGCUCAACUUGGGAACUGCGUUUGAAACUACAAGGCUAGAAUAUGUCAGAGGGGGGUAGAAUUCCACGCGUAGCAGUGAAAUGCGUAGAGAUGGGAGGAAUACCAAGGCGAAGGCAGCCCCCUGAUUUGAUUACGCUCAGCAGAGUA